RNAcentral lists this ribosomal RNA (439 nucleotides) under uncultured bacterium. Its description in RNAcentral is "partial 16S ribosomal RNA". It matches the Rfam family "Bacterial small subunit ribosomal RNA", at positions 339 to 795 of the family's 1533-position model. The record is from RNAcentral.
CUACGGGCCGCAGCAGUAGGGAAUCUUAGACAAUGGGGGAAACCCUGAUCUAGCCAUGCCGCGUGGGUGAUGAAGGCCUUAGGGUUGUAAAGCUCUUUCGCUGGGGAAGAUAAUGACGGUACCCAGUAAAGAAACCCCGGCUAACUCCGUGCCAGCAGCCGCGGUAAUACGGAGGGGGUUAGCGUUGUUCGGAAUUACUGGGCGUAAAGCGCGCGUAGGCGGGCUAUUAAGUCAGGGGUGAAAUCCCGGGGCUCAACCCCGGAACUGCCUUUGAUACUGGUAGUCUUGAGUUCGAGAGAGGUGAGUGGAAUUCCGAGUGUAGAGGUGACAUUCGUAGAUAUUCGGAGGAACAUCAGUGGCGAAGGCGACUCACUGGCUCGAUACUGACGCUGAGGUGCGAAAGUGUGGGGAGCAAACAGGAUUAGAUACCCCCGUAGUC